AUACGGAGGAUGCAAGCGUUAUCCGGAUUUAUUGGGUUUAAAGGGUGCGUAGGCGGGACUGUAAGUCAGGGGUGAAAUACUGCAGCUUAACUGUAGCAUUGCCUUUGAAACUGCCGUUCUUGAGUACAGUUGAGGUAGGCGGAAUGUGGUGUGUAGCGGUGAAAUGCAUAGAUAUACCACAGAACGCCGAUUGCGAAGGCAGCUUACUAAGCUGUUACUGACGCUGAGGCACGAAAGCGUGGGGAUCAAACAGGAUUAGAUACCCUGGUAGUCCACGCUGUAAACGAUGAUUACUGGUUGUUAGCGAUAUAUAGCUAGUGACUGAGCUAAAGCAUUAAGUAAUCCACCUGGGGAGUACGUCGGCAACGAUGAAACUCAAAUGAAUUGACGGGG
This 393-nucleotide ribosomal RNA is filed under the name uncultured bacterium. Its description in RNAcentral is "partial 16S ribosomal RNA". It matches the Rfam family "Bacterial small subunit ribosomal RNA", at positions 523 to 918 of the family's 1533-position model. The record is from RNAcentral.